AACAGGGAUUGCCCUAGUAACGGCGAGUGAAGCGGCAACAGCUCAAAUUUGAAAUCUUGGCCUCACGGUCCGAGUUGUAAUUUGUAGAGGAUGCUUCUGGCGACGUGCCUUCCGAGUUCCCUGGAACGGGACGCCAUAGAGGGUGAGAGCCCCGUCCGGUCGUGCACCUAGCCUCUGUGAAGCUCCUUCGACGAGUCGAGUAGUUUGGGAAUGCUGCUCUAAAUGGGAGGUAUACGUCUUCUAAAGCUAAAUACCGGCCAGAGACCGAUAGCGCACAAGUAGAGUGAUCGAAAGAUGAAAAGCACUUUGAAAAGAGGGUUAAAUAGUACGUGAAAUUGCUGAAAGGGAAGCGCUUAUGACCAGACUUGGGCUCGGUGAAUCAUCCGGCGUUCUCGCCGGUGCACUUUGCCGUCCCAGGCCAGCAUCAGUUCGCGCCGGGGGAUAAAGGCUUCGGGAAUGUAGCUCCUUCGGGAGUGUUAUAGCCCGUUGUGUAAUACCUGACGUGGACUGAGGUCCGCGCUCUGCAAGGAUGCUGGCGUAAUGGUCAUCAGUGACCCGUCUUGAAACACGGACUGAGGAGUCGUCUUCGUAUGCGAGUGUUCGGGUGUCAAACCCCUACGCGUAAUGAAAGUGAACGUAGGAGAGAGCUUCGGCGCAUCUCCGACCGAUCCUGAUGUUCUCGGAUGGAUUUGAGUAAGAGCAUACGGGGCCGGACCCGAAAGAAGGUGAACUAUGCCUGUAUAGGGUGAAGCCAGAGGAAACUCUGGUGGAGGCUCGCAGCGGUUCUGACGUGCAAAUCGAUCGU
Molecule: ribosomal RNA, 805 nt
Filed under: Acremonium potronii
Lineage: Eukaryota; Fungi; Ascomycota; Sordariomycetes; Hypocreales; Bionectriaceae
Description: eukaryotic LSU rRNA
Rfam family: Eukaryotic large subunit ribosomal RNA
Source: RNAcentral